Molecule: ribosomal RNA, 239 nt
Filed under: uncultured bacterium
Lineage: Bacteria
Description: partial 16S ribosomal RNA
Rfam family: Bacterial small subunit ribosomal RNA
Source: RNAcentral
CGUGAGUAACCUGCCUUGGAGUGGGGAAUAACGGCUGGAAACAGCUGCUAAUACCGCAUAAUAUAUCUGUGUCGCAUGGCACUGGAUAUCAAAGAUUUAUCGCUCUGAGAUGGACUCGCGUCUGAUUAGCUGGUUGGCGGGGUAACGGCCCACCAAGGCGACGAUCAGUAGCCGGACUGAGAGGUUGGCCGGCCACAUUGGGACUGAGACACGGCCCAGACUCCUACGGGAGGCAGCAG